GACGAACGCUGGCGGCGUGCUUAACACAUGCAAGUCGAACGGAAAGGCCCUGCUUUUGUGGGGUGCUCGAGUGGCGAACGGGUGAGUAACACGUGAGUAACCUGCCCUUGACUUUGGGAUAACUUCAGGAAACUGGGGCUAAUACCGGAUAGGAGCUCCUGCUGCAUGGUGGGGGUUGGAAAGUUUCGGCGGUUGGGGAUGGACUCGCGGCUUAUCAGCUUGUUGGUGGGGUAGUGGCUUACCAAGGCUUUGACGGGUAGCCGGCCUGAGGGGGUGACCGGCCCCUUGGGGCCUGGGAUCCGCCCCAACCCCUACGGGAGGCAGCAGUGGGGAAUAUUGCACAAUGGGCGGAAGCCUGAUGCAGCAACGCCGCGUGCGGGAUGACGGCCUUCGGGUUGUAAACCGCUUUCGCCUGUGACGAAGCGUGAGUGACGGUAAUGGGUAAAGAAGCACCGGCUAACUACGUG
This 467-nucleotide ribosomal RNA is filed under the name uncultured bacterium. RNAcentral describes it as "partial 16S ribosomal RNA". It matches the Rfam family "Bacterial small subunit ribosomal RNA", at positions 28 to 507 of the family's 1533-position model. The record is from RNAcentral.